UACGUAGGGGGCAAGCGUUGUCCGGAUUUAUUGGGCGUAAAGAGCUCGUAGGUGGUUCGGUAAGUCGGAUGUGAAAUCUCCAGGCUCAACCUGGAGGGGUCAUUCGAUACUGCCGUGACUAGAGGUCGGUAGGGGAGUGUGGAAUUUCUGGUGGAGCGGUGAAAUGCGCAGAUAUCAGGAGGAACACCCGUAGCGAAGGCGGCACUCUGGGCCGAUACUGACACUGAGGAGCGAAAGCGUGGGGAGCGAACAGG
RNAcentral lists this ribosomal RNA (254 nucleotides) under uncultured bacterium. Its description in RNAcentral is "partial 16S ribosomal RNA". It matches the Rfam family "Bacterial small subunit ribosomal RNA", at positions 524 to 776 of the family's 1533-position model. The record is from RNAcentral.